AUUGAACGCUGGCGGCAGGCCUAACACAUGCAAGUCGAGCGGAUGAGGGGAGCUUGCUCCCUGAUUUAGCGGCGGACGGGUGAGUAAUGCCUAGGAAUCUGCCUGGUAGUGGGGGAUAACGUUCCGAAAGGAACGCUAAUACCGCAUACGUCCUACGGGAGAAAGCAGGGGACAUUCGGGCCUUGCGCUAUCAGAUGAGCCUAGGUCGGAUUAGCUAGUUGGUGAGGUAAUGGCUCACCAAGGCGACGAUCCGUAACUGGUCUGAGAGGAUGAUCAGUCACACUGGAACUGAGACACGGUCCAGACUCCUACGGGAGGCAGCAGUGGGGAAUAUUGGACAAUGGGCGAAAGCCUGAUCCAGCCAUGCCGCGUGUGUGAAGAAGGUCUUCGGAUUGUAAAGCACUUUAAGUUGGGAGGAAGGGCUGCUGGUUAAUACCCUGCAGUUUUGACGUUACCAACAGAAUAAGCACCGGCUAACUUCGUG
RNAcentral lists this ribosomal RNA (484 nucleotides) under uncultured bacterium. RNAcentral's name for it is "partial 16S ribosomal RNA". It matches the Rfam family "Bacterial small subunit ribosomal RNA", at positions 30 to 507 of the family's 1533-position model. The record is from RNAcentral.